This 387-nucleotide unclassified non-coding RNA is filed under the name uncultured Bartonella sp. RNAcentral describes it as "partial 16S-23S ribosomal RNA intergenic spacer". The stretch from base 58 to 131 matches the Rfam family "tRNA". Lineage: Bacteria; Pseudomonadati; Pseudomonadota; Alphaproteobacteria; Hyphomicrobiales; Bartonellaceae. The record is from RNAcentral.
UUUUUAAAUAAUGCUUUUUUAUAUAAUGCUGGGGAAGGUUUUCCGGUUUAUCUCGGAGGGCUUGUAGCUCACUUGGUUAAAGCGCGCGCUUGAUAAGCGUGAGGUCGCAGGUUCAAGUCCUCCCAGGCCCACCAAUUUACCUAUCCAUUUGCCUUUAUCUGUUUAUUUGCCGAUUUAUCGGUCCAUUGAAUUUAAGUGUUGGUAGCAGUUUUAUAAUGAUGAAAAAUCAUGCUUAUAAAAGAACUCCUUAUAAAAGGCUUGUUUUUAAAAUGUGACGCUUAUCCAUUUCGCUUAGGUAAGAAAAACUUCAAGCGGUUCAAAUACAAAAGGCUUUAAGUUUUGCAAAACACUUUGAAUUUUGCAAAACACUUUGAAUUUUAAAGUGAU